CCCCGACCCCGCCGCGGUCCGGCCUCGACCCCGCGGUCCCCAGCCCGACUCCGGCUCCGCUCGCCAGGUGCCGCCAGACUCGCGCGGGGCUCAGGCUCUCCACCGGGGGGCGCCUCUCGCCUCCCCUGCGCCGCGCGGCGUCCGGGGAGUGGAAACGCCCGGGCGGGCUGACUCAGGAAGAGGAGACUGAGACACAGGUUUAAGUGAUGUACCCAAGAUCACGGAACUAGUAAGUGGCCGAAUCCGCGUUCAAAUCCAGACGGUCUGGCUCCAGAGUCCGCCUUCUACCCCACCGUUGGCUGCCUUGGUUCAGCAACAGUGACUGUCACACGGAGCCCUCAGGAGUCGCGCUGACAAUGGGUGGGCCCUGCCUUCAAGUUCCACACUGUCUGUUUGUGUCAUUACAACACUACUGGAAGUAGGUGCAGUUAUAGACCCGCUGUUCAAGGUCAGCUGAAAUGAAAGUCAGGUCACACGAGUCCAAACUGUGGGGCCACUUAACCACCAACUCCAAGCAGGAAGGUGGACGAUCCCAGACUCGGUCGAAGACAAGCAUGUCUGGUUUGCUUGUCUUCCUUCUCAACCUGAAUGGCACGAACAUGGAGAAAUGCAUACUUACCCUGCCAGCUGGAGAAAACUGGAGACGAAGGAGGGAGCCAGGAGUUUCUACUUUGCCUUCCACCAGUUGCUGACACUUUCUGAACCCCGUCUGUAAAAUGAAGUCAUGCUGCCCAUCACUCAAAGUUGUGUGAAUUGAGAGAGUGCUCAUAGUGCUCUGUGAAUUGCAUAACAUCCAUUUUGCUGUUGAAGAUCAUUUAUUUUGGGUUCUUAGUCUCUCACAAAACCUUAGAACACUGACACCAAGACUCCAGCCUUUCCCUUUCGAAACAUAAUUCCCGUGCGCACCUAAAUGAUACUUUAUUUCAAGAAGUAGAACUGACACCCACACCUCAGCCCCAGAAUUAUUCAGAAUUAGAGAAUUUCAUCAAGAGGGAAGUUAUCCCUUCUAAAACAUCUUCCUCAUUACAGGAAGUAAGAAUGGCAGGAUAACAGUUUCUAGAGUGGAAAAGUGGAGCUCUGGCCUGAUUCUAUCAUCAUGGUGUACCCAGGGAGGCCUCAUUUCCUGGUAUCAAAUUCUCUGUGUUAAGAUAUCUAUGGCCCAAUUCAAAAUGGCUUAAGCAAUAAGAAGGUUUGUUUUCUCACAUAAUAAAAUGUUUGGAGGUAGGUAUGUCCAAGGUUGGUAAAGAGGCAGUUGAACAAUGUGACCAAAGACUCCAGUUCUGGCUGGGCCCGGUGGCUCACACCUGUAAUCCCAGCACUUUGGAAGGCUGAGGCAGGCGAAUCACUUGAGGCCAGGAGUUCGAGACCAGCCUAGCCAACAUAGUGAAACCCUGUCUCUACCAAAAGUACAAAAAUUAGGCAGGCAUGGUGGCGCGCGCCUGUAGUCCCAGUUACUCCAGAGGCUGAGACAGGAGAAUUGCUUGAAACCGAGAGGCAGAGGUUGCAGUGAGCUGAGAUCAUGCCGUUGCACUACAGCCUGGGUGAGAGAGUGAGACUCUCUCAGAAAAAAAAGACCCUGGUUCUGUCUAUCCUUUUGUGCCAUCAUCCUUGGUGUUCUGUUAUCCUGCGGUGUGCCCCUCAUGGUCCCAAGAUGGCUACUGUAGCUCAAAACAUCACAUCAUUACAUGCGAAUGUCCACAAGUGGAAGUUAGGACAUCCCUUCGAGCCUCUUUUUAAGAGUGAAGAAACCUUCCCUGGCUGGAUGCAGUGGCUCACACCUUCUGACCUUCCACUCCUCAAGCCCCGGAGUCAACUCUAGUCACACUGGCCUCCUUGCUGUGCCUCUUCCACAGCGAAUGUGUCCUGGCCUCAGACCCUUUACAUUUGCUGUUCCCUGUGCAUGGAACGCUCUUCCCUCAGGUCAUACAUAGCAUACAUUACUGAGUGCUCUCCAUGUGCCCAGCAUGGUUUGAUGCGCUUUACAUAUAUUAACUCAUGGAACCUAACAGCUUUAUGAGACGAGUCUGUUAUCUCCAUCCCCAUUUGAUAGAUGGGGCAUCCCUGUGGGAGCUCUGCCCAUUCCAGAGGUGCCAGGCCAUUCACUAAUGGGGGCAGGAGCCGGUGAGUAAAUGCCAGUCUUGUGCUGUCACAGGUGGACGAUUCAGAGAGGUGUUCUAGACCAUUCAGAUCUUUCUGGAACCUUCUCAGAGACCAGAAGUACUCAGCCCUAUUGCUACAACUGACUUCACUAACACACCCUCUGUCCCAUUCCUCCCACCCCUUACUUCUGCUUCCAGGGAUCACCUCCCACAUAAACGACUUACACUCAAGUCUCAGACUUGCUAUCAGGGAACCAAAACUAAAACAAAAGGGAAACUUGAUACUGGGUCAUCCCCUAUAGUUCUGUACCUUGCCUGGGUUAAAAUUGCACUAUUUUAUUAGAUGUGUGACCUUGGGCCAGUCACCUGUCUGUGCCUGUUUCCUAAUCUGUAAAACGGACAUAAUGUCACCUAAUUCACAGGGGUGUUGGAAGAGUGAAGAGAGAUGGUGUUAGGUGAGGUCCUUAAAACAGUGCACAACGCAUUAUAAGUGCUCAAUAAAUGUUUGCUACUAGGCUUGAUGUAUUAGUCAAGACUUUUGUUUGCAAGUGACAGAAAGCCAAAGUGAAUUAGCUUAAUGAAAAUGGGGAUGC
Molecule: long non-coding RNA, 2692 nt
Filed under: Homo sapiens (human)
Lineage: Eukaryota; Metazoa; Chordata; Mammalia; Primates; Hominidae
Description: HSALNT0263272
Source: RNAcentral